GCAUAUGUGAUGUGCUUGUUUUAUGUCUAUAAGUGAACUUUGAUAUCAAAAUUGAUGUUGAGUUAAUUGUUAAAGUGCAUGAAUUUUUCCUAGGUAGUUUAAUUUUGAUUUAAUGUGUCUGUAAACAUGAAAUUUGGUGUCUCGAAUUUAAUUCAGUCUGUUAAGUAUGUGUUUAUAGCUUUGGUGAAUAUUUGGAUAUAUUUUGGGAUUUGAUUGAAUGGCCUAAACUAUCAAAUUUUGCAAUUUU
This 247-nucleotide long non-coding RNA is filed under the name Gossypium barbadense (sea-island cotton). RNAcentral's name for it is "long non-coding RNA (GBAR_LNC000689)". Lineage: Eukaryota; Viridiplantae; Streptophyta; Magnoliopsida; Malvales; Malvaceae. The record is from RNAcentral.